Molecule: ribosomal RNA, 889 nt
Filed under: uncultured archaeon
Lineage: Archaea
Description: bacterial SSU rRNA
Rfam family: Archaeal small subunit ribosomal RNA
Source: RNAcentral
UAAGCCAUGCAAGCGGAGGGCGCGGUCUCUGACCGUGGCCCCGCGCAAGGCUCAGUAACACGUGGUCAACCUGCCCUCGGGCCGGGGAUAACCUCGGGAAACUGAGGAUAAUACCCGAUAGGUGAGGGAGGCUGGAAGGCGCCCUCGCCGAAAGCCACGGCGCCCGAGGAUGGGACUGCGGCCUAUCAGGUAGUUGGUGGUGUAACGGACCACCAAGCAUACGACGGGUACGGGCGAUGGGAGUCGGAGCCCGGAGAUGGGGACUGAAACAAGGCCCCAGGCCCUACGGGGUGCAGCAGGCGCGAAAACUCCGCAAUGCGCGAAAGCGUGACGGGGGAACCCCAAGUGCCGCUGGUCUCACGAUCGGCGGCUUUUCCGGAGUGCAAGGAGCUCCGGGAAUAAGGGCUGGGCAAGGCUGGUGCCAGCCGCCGCGGUAAUACCAGCAGCCCGAGUGCUGGUCGUGAUUAUUGGGCCUAAAGCGCUCGUAGCCGGCCCGGCAAGUCCCCCGUGAAAUCGGACCGCCUAACGGUUCGGCUGGCGGGGGAAACUACCGGUCUUGGGGCCGGGAGACGUCCGGGGUACUCCGGGGGUAGCGGUGAAAUGCGUUGAUCCUCGGAGGACCACCCGUAGCGAAGGCGCCGGACGAGAACGGACCUGACGGUGAGGGGCGAAGGCUGGGGGAGCGAACGGGAUUAGAUACCCCGGUAGUCCCAGCAGUAAAGGAUGCGGGCCAGAUGUUGGGAGUCCCUCGAGGGCUCCCAGUGCCGGAGGGAAGCCGUUAAGCCCGCCGCCUGGGGAGUACGGCCGCAAGGCUGAAACUUAAAGGAAUUGGCGGGGGAGCACCACAAGGGGUGGGACCUGCGGUUCAAUUGGAUCUCACACGCCGGGA